This 780-nucleotide ribosomal RNA is filed under the name Stilbonema brevicolle. Its description in RNAcentral is "SSU rRNA". It matches the Rfam family "Eukaryotic small subunit ribosomal RNA", at positions 149 to 931 of the family's 1831-position model. Lineage: Eukaryota; Metazoa; Nematoda; Chromadorea; Desmodorida; Desmodoridae. The record is from RNAcentral.
GUGGUAAUUCUAGAGCUAAUACAUGCAAUGAAGCUCCGACCUUGCGGAAGGAGCGCAUUUAUUAGACCAAAACCAAUGGGGCUUUGCCUCGUAUUUUGGUGACUCUGAAUAACUUUGCUGAUCACAUGGUCCUAGCACCGGUGACAUAUCUUUCAAGUGUCUGCCCUAUCAACUUUCGAUGGUAGUUUAUGUGCCUACCAUGGUUGUAACGGGUAACGGAGAAUAAGGGUUCGACUCCGGAGAGGGAGCCUGAGAAAUGGCUACCACAUCCAAGGAAGGCAGCAGGCGCGCAAAUUACCCACUCUCAGCUCGAGGAGGUAGUGACGAAAAAUAACGAGACGGUUCUCUUUGAGGCCCGUCAUCGGAAUGGGUACAAUUUAAACCCUUUAACGAGGAUCUAUUGGAGGGCAAGUCUGGUGCCAGCAGCCGCGGUAAUUCCAGCUCCAAUAGCAUAUACCAAUUCUGCUGCUGUUAAAAAGCUCGUAGUUGGAUCUUUUCCGAGGAUGCAGUCUGUCUCAAUGGCAUGUACUGUUUUCCGAGGAUAAUUUCGCUGGUCUUCUCAUGGUGCUCUUCAUUGAGUGUCUUGGGUGGCUAGCACGUUUACUUUGAAAAAAUUAGAGUGCUCAAAACAGGCGUUACGGCCCGAAUAGUGGUGCAUGGAAUAAUGGAAUAGGAUCUCGGUUCUAUUUUGUUGGUUUUAGGAGCGCGAGAUAAUGAUUAAGAGGGACAGACGGGGGCAUUCGUAUUGCGGCGUUAGAGGUGAAAUUCUUGGAUCGCCGC